Molecule: ribosomal RNA, 351 nt
Filed under: Triticum aestivum (bread wheat)
Lineage: Eukaryota; Viridiplantae; Streptophyta; Magnoliopsida; Poales; Poaceae
Description: partial small subunit ribosomal RNA
Source: RNAcentral
AUGGAUCAGGAGCUGAUCAAGCACCUUGAGGCCAAAGUGAGUGUUGACAGCGCGAGAUCUCACCCUCUCAUCGAUUUGUUCAUACCAACCAUCGACAACGAGCACGGCAUAUGCUACACCCAUCCUGAGAAACUUCCAGGUAUCACACUGAGUGGCCUAAGCAAGCAUUUCUUUCAGCGCAAUUCCAGGGCGUUCAAAAGGGGCAUGUGGACGCGUCGCAAGAUACAGUCGGAGUGCGGCAUGCACGCGAUGUGGCACAACACCGGCAAUACCUUGCUAGUGAUGGUCAACGGCCGGCAGACAGGCAGCAAAAAGGUUCUGGUGCUGCACACCAACAAGAACUUCGACUAG